RNAcentral lists this long non-coding RNA (368 nucleotides) under Gallus gallus (chicken). RNAcentral's name for it is "long non-coding RNA NONGGAT004778". Lineage: Eukaryota; Metazoa; Chordata; Aves; Galliformes; Phasianidae. The record is from RNAcentral.
GAGGACAAAGACUGCCUGGGUAGCCAGAAGUGCUGCCCACUGGGCUGCGGCCCGGCCUGCGUGGAGCCGGCGCAGGGUAAGGUCUCCGGGUACCGCCGGAGCCACGUGCACGGGGACAGCCACGGCUCGGCGGGGCGCUCAGGGCUGUGCUGCAGACAUCUGCCAUCUCCCCGCUGUGCCGGGGCCCUGCGGCGGCCACGAGCUGAGCUUCUUCUACAACGUCACCUCCGGGCGCUGCGAGACGUUCCCCUACAGCGGCUGCGGGGGCAAUGCCAACCGCUUUGGGACGCGGGCAGCGUGCCGCCGGGCGUGCCUGGGCCACGAGAAACCCAAAGCCGGGGAGUGUCCUGUGGUGCUGCCAGAGCUGG